UACGUAGGGCGCAAGCGUUGUCCGGAAUUAUUGGGCGUAAAGAGCUCGUAGGCGGUUUGUCGCGUCUGUCGUGAAAGCUUGGGGCUUAACCCCAAGUCUGCGGUGGAUACGGGCAGACUAGAGGCAGGUAGGGGAGAACGGAAUUCCCGGUGUAGCGGUGAAAUGCGCAGAUAUCGGGAGGAACACCGGUGGCGAAGGCGGUUCUCUGGGUAGAUACUGACGCUGAGGUGCGAAAGCGUGGGGAGCAAACAGG
Molecule: ribosomal RNA, 253 nt
Filed under: uncultured bacterium
Lineage: Bacteria
Description: partial 16S ribosomal RNA
Rfam family: Bacterial small subunit ribosomal RNA
Source: RNAcentral